UACGUAGGUGGCAAGCGUUGUCCGGAAUUACUGGGUGUAAAGGGCGUGUAGGCGGGGAUGCAAGUCAGAUGUGAAAUUCCGGGGCUCAACCCCGGCACUGCAUCUGAAACUGUGUCUCUUGAGUGCUGGAGAGGAAAGCGGAAUUCCUAGUGUAGCGGUGAAAUGCGUAGAUAUUAGGAGGAACACCAGUGGCGAAGGCGGCUUUCUGGACAGUAACUGACGCUGAGGCGCGAAAGCGUGGGUAGCGAACAGGAUUAGAUACCCUGGUAGUCCACGCCGUAAACGAUGGAUACUAGGUGUAGGAGGUAUCGACCCCUUCUGUGCCGGAGUUAACACAAUAAGUAUCCCACCUGGGGAGUACGGCCGCAAGGUUGAA
This 376-nucleotide ribosomal RNA is filed under the name uncultured bacterium. RNAcentral describes it as "bacterial SSU rRNA". It matches the Rfam family "Bacterial small subunit ribosomal RNA", at positions 524 to 898 of the family's 1533-position model. The record is from RNAcentral.